Molecule: long non-coding RNA, 1221 nt
Organism: Anthonomus grandis grandis
Lineage: Eukaryota; Metazoa; Arthropoda; Insecta; Coleoptera; Curculionidae
Exons: 3
Source: RefSeq, a predicted model, not a curated record
GUUGUGUUUCCUUAACUUUUGUUGUUAACGUUGUGUUGCACUUUAAAACAAUAAGAACAAAAACACGAAAGGGUACUAGCAUCUCCCUUUUUUCAAUAUUGUAUAUCCUCCUUCAUUAAUUGAAAUGUUAUUUGGAAUCUUAAAUGUUUUUAAAUGUAGCCUAAAAUUUUAUUUUAACUUGUAAGAAUGUUUUUCCACUACGUAAAACUCCGAUGCAUAACUGCCAAGUGAGUACCUUUUAAUCCCUUUAUCUUUAGUUUUAAGGUCCUUAUUCCUGUAAAAAGCAGAUAUAGCUCACUUUUAGUUAGCACUGAUGAUAGCUCAUAUGCCCAAAGUACUGUACUAAGCCUAAGAAGAAAAAAUAUGCAUCGAUCUGUAUUUAAAAUGUUUUUAUGACUUGAAUAUUUACUAUUGAAGACCUCUAGUAACCUCGAUGUGCAACAAAUACCUUAAGCAGCUUAAGCCUAUCGAUUCCGCUGUCACGUCAAAUACAAGAGCUGCAUGUAAGAAGAAAUGUAAAAAUUUAGGAUCUGCCUAUAUCCAUGAUUUAAGGCAAAAACCACCACGUGCUGAUGAUCAUCAGCACAAACAAAGAAAAAAUAUUAUUUACCGGACUAUUUGGACUUUCUCCUGCCGUUCACUUAAUCUAGGUAACAAAAGGGUAGCAUUCCAUCUCCCAAAAAUAUAUGUGAAGAAACAAAUAAUAUUUCGAUUCAAGAAGAAUCUUCAUGCAUUCGAAGAAUCCUUUACAAAUGAACCUUUAUUAGUCACUGAAAGCGCAUUAACUUGCAAUAAAAGUUCUGCAAAAAAGCGCAAAGAAGUGGACCCUCUAUAGAGAAAUGUGCCAUUGAUUAUUUUACAUCGAAAAGCCGAGGCCAAGCGGAAAAACCGGAAGAUGCUGACUUGCUAUUUCUUAAAAGUCUUCUGCCCGGUUUACAACGAAUGACAAACGCCCAAAAACACGAAUUUAAAUAUAAAGCAAUGCAAGUUAUUGGUGAAAUACUUUAUGCAAACCACCACCAAAUAAUUUUACCCCAUCACUUUCAACAAAUUCUCAACAGAUGUGUUAUAAUUCAAGCACAGUAACUUUCACCCAUUUUCAAACAGUUCUCAAGCGCAAACUACGUACUCUUCAAGCCAAAUAAGCACACCUAUGACAUCUCCAAAUACCGAUUAUGACUAUUUAAAGUUGAAGUACAUAAUAAAUACUACACAAUUGAA